RNAcentral lists this ribosomal RNA (465 nucleotides) under uncultured bacterium. RNAcentral describes it as "partial 16S ribosomal RNA". It matches the Rfam family "Bacterial small subunit ribosomal RNA", at positions 28 to 507 of the family's 1533-position model. The record is from RNAcentral.
GACGAACGCUGGCGGCGUGCUUAACACAUGCAAGUCGAACGGAAAGGCCCCUUUGGGGGUACUCGAGUGGCGAACGGGUGAGUAACACGUGAGUAACCUGCCCUUGACUUCGGGAUAACUUCAGGAAACUGGGGCUAAUACCGGAUAGGAAUCCUUGCUGCAUGGUGGGGGUUGGAAAGCUUCGGCGGUUUUGGAUGGACUCGCGGCUUAUCAGCUUGUUGGUGGGGUAGUGGCUUACCAAGGCUUUGACGGGUAGCCGGCCUGAGAGGGCGACCGGCCACAUUGGGACUGAGAUACGGCCCAGAAUCCUACGGGAGGCAGCAGUGGGGAAUAUUGCACAAUGGGCGGAAGCCUGAUGCAGCAACGCCGCGUGCGGGAUGACGGCCUUCGGGUUGUAAACCGCUUUCAGCAGGGGCGAAGCUUGUGGUGACGGUACCUGCAGAAGAAGCACCGGCUAACUACGUG